CGGGUGAGUAACGCGUAGAAUCACCCAGUAGUGGGGGACAACAUGGUGAAAACCAUGCUAUACCGCAUACGCCCUAUGGGGGAAAGCGGGGGACCUUCGGGCCUCGCGCUAUUGGAUGAGCCUGCGUCGGAUUAGCUUGUUGGUGAGGUAAAGGCUCACCAAGGCGACGAUCCGUAGCUGGUCUGAGAGGAUGAUCAGCCACACUGGAACUGAGACACGGUCCAG
This 225-nucleotide ribosomal RNA is filed under the name uncultured bacterium. RNAcentral's name for it is "partial 16S ribosomal RNA". It matches the Rfam family "Bacterial small subunit ribosomal RNA", at positions 103 to 334 of the family's 1533-position model. The record is from RNAcentral.